RNAcentral lists this ribosomal RNA (468 nucleotides) under uncultured bacterium. RNAcentral describes it as "partial 16S ribosomal RNA". It matches the Rfam family "Bacterial small subunit ribosomal RNA", at positions 28 to 507 of the family's 1533-position model. The record is from RNAcentral.
GACGAACGCUGGCGGCGUGCUUAACACAUGCAAGUCGAACGGAAAGGCCCUGCUUUUGUGGGGUGCUCGAGUGGCGAACGGGUGAGUAACACGCGAGUAACCUGCCCUUGACUUUGGGAUAACUUCAGGAAACUGGGGCUAAUACCGGAUAGGAGCUCCUGCUGCAUGGUGGGGGUUGGAAAGUUUCGGCGGUUGGGGAUGGACUCGCGGCUUAUCAGCUUGUUGGUGGGGUAGUGGCUUACCAAGGCUUUGACGGGUAGCCGGCCUGAGAGGGUGACCGGCCACAUUGGGACUGAGAUACGGCCCAGACUCCUACGGGAGGCAGCAGUGGGGAAUAUUGCACAAUGGGCGGAAGCCUGAUGCAGCAACGCCGCGUGCGGGAUGACGGCCUUCGGGUUGUAAACCGCUUUCGCCUGUGACGAAGCGUGAGUGACGGUAAUGGGUAAAAAAGCACCGGCUAACUACGUG